AAAAUGGCCGCAUAAUUACUAAUUGAAGGCACCUGAAAACGAAUGAGGUUCAGUCACUCAUUCACCAAAUAACCUUCAUGGAAUUCUGCAAGCAUCCACACCCGCAAAAUCCACUCAACAAGUUUCUCCAAACACACCAACGCGGAACGUUUGUCUCCAGCAAUAAGCAGCAAUAAAUAGUCCUAGGAAAUAAAGUCCUGGACAGGAAGCCUGUAGCCUCGCUCCAUGGACGUCACUCACACCUGCCAGGGACAGGGAGAGAGCGAAAACCUACCACACAGACCAGUACCUGCUCUUUGACUACCAUCACCAACAAGAAGACAAGCUUGGGGCAAUCAGGACCCUCAGGAAAGAUCCCUACCACUGACAACAGAAGACAAAAGGAGCAGAGACAUCUUUCUAAAGACUUCAUCAUGCUAUGUUUCUACGCUGGCUCUUCCGACAGUGUUUUGAUCCUGUUAUGCUCUUGUUAAAUUUCAUUGAUAUGUAGUCGGAGUUACCAACAUCAAGGGCGACAUCUAGAUCGUUUUUUGCGCUUGAACAUCAGUCACUUUUAUUGUACGUGUUAUCCGAUACCAUUCAUAUUCGUACAGUUGGUCAUAUCUGCAUAUUUCGUCACUGAGACAUUCAUUCAUUUCCACCAUUGUUUCGCUUGAGAAAAAAAAGAAGUACCAAUCACAACUUUGUGGCUUGCCUUGCUGUGGACAGGAGGUUUUUUGGAGCUGCACGUCAAGCUCUGCUGGAAGGUUUGAAGAGGUAGGAGCUAGGUAGCACCAUGACGUUGCAGCAUAUUGAACACUUUACUGUGAGUGUCCUAACAGAGCAUAAGAAAUGUCACUACUCCCCUGCCUAAGGAUAAAAACAGGAGACCAAAUGUGGCGGUCUCAUACGUGGCAGUUUUUUUUUUUUUUUCAAGAAACUGUCCCAUUUUCUCAAAACACAUAUCAAAAAUCAUACAUGAGAAUCAGCACCACCAAAACCAAGAUCAUGAUUCUCAAUCCAAAAAAGAGUGGAAUGCUAUCUCAGAAGAAUGGAUCGCGUCCACAGUGAUGUGGACUCCGCAUCGGUCUGUCGUGGUGAAGAGGGAGCUGACCUGGAAGGCAAAGCUCUCAAUUGACCAGUCGAUCUACGCUAUCUUUUUUUCCGAAGGGUGGCGGGGCUCCCCCUUAGAGAUGGAGUGAGAAGCUCUGUCAUUUGGGAGGAGAUCAGAGCAAAGCCACCACUCCUCCACCUCAAGAGGAGCCAGAUGAGGUGGCUCAGGUAUCUGGUUAGUAUACCCCCUUCGGAAGUAUUCAAGGCACGUCCGACCGGUAAAAGACCACAGUGAAGACCCAGGCACGUUGGAGAGAUUGUGUCUCUCAGCUUGCCUGGGAACAGCUCAGUAUCACCCAGACAGAGCUGGACAAGAGUAGCCGGGGAGAGGGAAGUCUGAGCUUCUCUGCUGCCUACCCGACCUGACCUCAGAUAAGCGGAAGGAGAUAGAUGGGUGGAAGACAUACCGAUGCUUUUCAUACUCACAAGACAAAAACUGGUUCAACCCAAUGACAACACUUAGAAAUGGUGUUUGUGCAGCGCAGUGUAGCGAGGCGUGCAAAGACCUCUACUUUGGAGACACCAAACAACCCUUACACAGACUAAUGGCAUAGCAUUAGCGGGCUGUUCCUUUGGGCUGAGAGUCUGGAGUUAAUUUGCAUCUUAAAAAGGAAUGGAGAGUCAUUUGGGGACCACUAUGUCCAAAUUGUAGAAUUGGAGGACCUGUGGUUUGAAAAGAGGUGUGAAAGAAGUCAUCUUUGUCAAACUGGAAAUGAAGAGGUUUGCGCCAUCACCUUUUGUCUGCUCACAAUUUUUCCAUCUCUCCCCCAAAGGUUGUCUCGUUCCAUGGGGAGAGUGGCCACUAACGAGCCGCAUGCCACUAAGAAGGACUUGGGACCAUUGUUAAACCCCAAAUUUGACCACUGCUGUGGGACACACCCAUUACAGACUGCACACCUAUGAUUUAAAAGUGAAGAAGCCUUUCAGAGAUGAAAGCUGAAAGGUCUUUAACCAAACAAAAAGGUUCCAGUUGCCUAAAUACCUGUGAGCGCAUAUUUUGAACACAUCAUCGUCACAAAAUACUUUUUCCUUUUUUAAGAAGGUGUUUGUUGUUAUUGCUGCUAGUUUGACUCUCCUUUGUUUACUUAAAAAAUAUAUUUUAUUAUCAUCACUUUGCCUGCCCCUGAUUUAAAAUACACAAAAGUUUAACUGGACUGCUAUUAUUUUUGUAGCAGCCUAAUGAUCUCAAUUGUGGAACAAAAUAAAUAUUUC
This is a long non-coding RNA of Nerophis ophidion (straightnose pipefish), 2304 nucleotides long. RefSeq lists it as uncharacterized. The transcript has 3 exons. NCBI's taxonomy places the organism in Eukaryota, Metazoa, Chordata, Actinopteri, Syngnathiformes, Syngnathidae. The record is from RefSeq and is a predicted model, not a curated record.